Molecule: long non-coding RNA, 1416 nt
Filed under: Helianthus annuus (common sunflower)
Lineage: Eukaryota; Viridiplantae; Streptophyta; Magnoliopsida; Asterales; Asteraceae
Source: RNAcentral
AUAAAAACACACACAGGUGUGUUCGAUCGACAGGAGGAGCAGGGAGAAAGGGGUGAAACCCUAACUCAACAAAACCUUCAAAUUGGAGGAUCAAACGAAGGCCAAAUUCGGAUUGGAAUAUACAUAAACGAUCACCAAGUCAAGGGGAUCGAAAGGUAUGUCGAAUUUUUGACAUUCAUGAAGUGGGAGCUUGGAAAGGAACGGGUCAAACGGAUCAUGGAUGCAAAGAAUGUUUGCGCGGACGCGAGGUAAGUUAAGCUUACACUCUUUUUUUAAUUACAAUACACUUGUGAAUAUUGAUUGUGAAUAAUGGUAAGUAAUUGGAAUAUGAUGUUCCGGCAAGAUACAAUGCAAGUCGGAAUAUGUAAAAAGGUAAGAAACCAUGAAUUAUGGUAAAAGGGGUAAAAAGGUAAAUUAGUCAUGUAAUGACGAACAAAUAAAAAUGGUUUUGAGUAAAACGAGUUUAAGGGAAAACCGGGAUAGGUUUAAAGGGAUGAAAUGGUAACUAAAUACCAUCUCAUACGGAUAAAUGGUCAUUUAGGCUAAAUGGGUCAAAUGGUAUUGUUAACACCAUUUGACAAUUUCAUUUGACAAUUGCUUGUUGAGUGUUGUAAUCACAGGAAACAACAUAAACGUGCGUUGUUUUAACUAGAAAGAUUUAAAGCAAAAAGUUAUGUAAACAGGUCAAUACCUUGACCCGAGCCAGGUACGCAUAGUUAAGUUGCUAGAUAAACAUGCAAAUAUGGGUCAAAUAAUUAGCGAGAGUCCUUCGUCGUGAAUGAGGGACUAAAAAUUGACCAAAACGCCCAUGAUUUGUAAAUCGGGCAAAUGACCCUUAGAGGUCGUUUAGAUACUAGUAUUAUGAUUAUGCAACUCCUAGAUAUAUGUAAGAGUUGUAAGUAUAAACCUUGAGAGUCAAAUGCCUAAGAACGGGUAAAUUACGUAGAAUGACUAUCCAAAGGGUAAAAUUUAGAAUAACGGUCCGUUAUGUUAAAUCCACUACAAAAUAGUUGUUGUGGAAUAUUAGAGGCUACUAAAAAAAUGGAAAUACGAAGUGUACAAAGAGAAAUGCGAGUUUGAUGCUUAAAUGCAUGAAAACUUCUAAACGGGUCAAAAUAAAGUAGGUGGUAAAAUGUUGGCUUAAGUGUAAUAAAGAAAAACGUAAACCGGGUAACGGGAGCGUAAACUAUAUGAAUAAUGGAUCCGGGUAAUGGAUGAUAGCUUAGACAUGUUAAGAAACGAACCCCAAGCAAUUAAAAUGAGUUUGGAUAGGUUUGGAUGCAAAUUUGAUGAAAAAUAAACGUGCAGAGUUGAUAUGGGCGGGUGAACUUUUGACACGGCCGGGUGAAGGGGCUGUGAAAAAUAUAUGUUAAGCUGACACGGCCGGGUGAUCUUUUGACACGGCCGAGUGAAGGG